GGGCCGAUAUAGCUCAGUUGGUAGAGCAGCGCAUUCGUAAUGCGAAGGUCGUAGGUUCGACUCCUAUUAUCUUCCGCCA
Molecule: transfer RNA, 79 nt
Filed under: Escherichia coli
Lineage: Bacteria; Pseudomonadati; Pseudomonadota; Gammaproteobacteria; Enterobacterales; Enterobacteriaceae
Description: tRNA-Thr
Rfam family: tRNA
About the family: Transfer RNA (tRNA) molecules are approximately 80 nucleotides in length. Their secondary structure includes four short double-helical elements and three loops (D, anti-codon, and T loops). Further hydrogen bonds mediate the characteristic L-shaped molecular structure. tRNAs have two regions of fundamental functional importance: the anti-codon, which is responsible for specific mRNA codon recognition, and the 3' end, to which the tRNAs corresponding amino acid is attached (by aminoacyl-tRNA synthetases). tRNAs cope with the degeneracy of the genetic code in two manners: having more than one tRNA (with a specific anti-codon) for a particular amino acid; and 'wobble' base-pairing, i.e. permitting non-standard base-pairing at the 3rd anti-codon position.
Source: RNAcentral